CAGCAGCCGCGGGAAUACGUAGGGUGCGAGCGUUAAUCGGAAUUACUGGGCGUAAAGCGUGCGCAGGCGGUUGUGUAAGACAGGUGUGAAAUCCCCGGGCUUAACCUGGGAACUGCGCUUGUGACUGCACAGCUAGAGUAUGGCAGAGGGGGGUGGAAUUCCACGUGUAGCAGUGAAAUACGUAGAGAUGUGGAGGAACACCGAUGGCGAAGGCAGCCCCCUGGGCCAAUACUGACGCUCAUGCACGAAAGCGUGGGGAGCAAACAGGAUUAGAUACCCCUGUAGUCCCUGUCUCUUAUAC
This 301-nucleotide ribosomal RNA is filed under the name uncultured bacterium. RNAcentral's name for it is "partial 16S ribosomal RNA". It matches the Rfam family "Bacterial small subunit ribosomal RNA", at positions 509 to 807 of the family's 1533-position model. The record is from RNAcentral.